UACGUAGGGUGCGAGCGUUGUCCGGAAUUAUUGGGCGUAAAGGGCUCGUAGGCGGUUUUGUCGCGUCGGGAGUGAAAACCUCGGGCUUAACUCGGGGCUUGCUUUCGAUACGGGCAGACUAGAGGUAUGCAGGGGAGAACGGAAUUCCUGGUGUAGCGGUGAAAUGCGCAGAUAUCAGGAGGAACACCGGUGGCGAAGGCGGUUCUCUGGGCAUGAUCUGACGCUGAGGAGCGAAAGUGUGGGGAGCGAACAGG
This 254-nucleotide ribosomal RNA is filed under the name uncultured bacterium. RNAcentral describes it as "partial 16S ribosomal RNA". It matches the Rfam family "Bacterial small subunit ribosomal RNA", at positions 524 to 776 of the family's 1533-position model. The record is from RNAcentral.